This 958-nucleotide ribosomal RNA is filed under the name Leotiomycetes sp. genotype 138. Its description in RNAcentral is "eukaryotic LSU rRNA". The stretch from base 646 to 958 matches the Rfam family "Eukaryotic large subunit ribosomal RNA", at positions 1 to 309 of the family's 3401-position model. The record is from RNAcentral. Lineage: Eukaryota; Fungi; Ascomycota; Leotiomycetes.
CCACAGCGAGCAUCAGCUUGCUAGUCUCCCCUGGAGGCGACACGCUCAACGUGCGGAAAGGCCCUCCUUGGAGGGAAAUCCGCAGCUCCUACCCGGAGUUCAGAGACUCAAUGAGUGUGGGUGUGGCCUAGCCACGCUUAAGAUAGAGCCCGUCCCGGCUGGCAACUGCCGGGAGUCAACGGAACCUGCGGAAGGAUCAUUAAAGAAUACAAGGUUUCGGGCCCUAUUCUCACCCUUUGUUUAUUAACUUUGUUGCUUUGGCAGGCCUCCGGCUUCGGCUGGGUCGUGUCUGCCAGAGGCCUAACUCUUGAAUCACUGCGGUCUGAGUACUAUAUAAUAGUUAAAACUUUCAACAACGGAUCUCUUGGUUCUGGCAUCGAUGAAGAACGCAGCGAAAUGCGAUAAUUAAUGUGAAUUGCAGACUCAGUGAAUCAUCGAAUCUUUGAACGCACAUUGCGCCCUCUGGUAUUCCGGGGGGCAUGCCUGUUCGAGCGUCAUUACAACCCUCAAGCUCUGCUUGGUGUUGGGCUCGCCCUGUAGGGCCUGCCUCAAAGUCAGUGGCAGCACCGUCUGACCCUAAGCGUAGUAAUACUCGCCGCUUUUGUGGUUAUGCGUGGACUGCCAAUCAACCCCCACCAUCAAGGUUGACCUCGGAUCAGGUAGGGAUACCCGCUGAACUUAAGCAUAUCAAUAAGCGGAGGAAAAGAAACCAACAGGGAUUGCCUCAGUAACGGCGAGUGAAGCGGCAACAGCUCAAAUUUGAAAGCUGGCUCCUUUGGGGGCCCGCGUUGUAAUUUGUAGAGGAUGCUUCGGGUGCGGCGCCGGUCUAAGUUCUUUGGAACAAGACGUCAUAGAGGGUGAGAAUCCCGUAUGUGACUGGUUGCCUGUGCCCGUGUGAAGCUCCUUCGACGAGUCGAGUUGUUUGGGAAUGCAGCUCAAAAUGGGUGGUAAAUUUCAU